This is a non-coding RNA of Heterocephalus glaber (naked mole-rat), 1528 nucleotides long. Lineage: Eukaryota; Metazoa; Chordata; Mammalia; Rodentia; Bathyergidae. The record is from RefSeq and is a predicted model, not a curated record.
UUCUCGGCGGCUCCGCCUCUCUCGGCGCCCAGCCCGAUCCAGCGCCCUUCCCACAUCCCGCCCCCCUCUCCCCGCGCCUUCCCCGCCGCAGCCGGCCCUCGCCGCACCUCGCCGUCGGAGGCGGGGCUUUCCGCGGCGGAGGGCGGGGCUCCUGCGGCGGAGGGGCGGGCCUGGCCGGGCUGGGAUUGAGGUCGGGGUGUGGCCAGGUUGGACGCUGGCGGGCGGGGGAAGAUGGGGAGAGAAGGGAGAGGGCGGGUGAGGUCUGGGGAACCCGCUGGGCCAAACGUCCGCUGGAGGAGAGGGCCGGGGUGGCGUUUGUAGAUGGUUGCUCAAGGGGGAGAGGGAGACUCCUGGAAAUCAGUGCUGCUGGCUCAGUGAGCAGCAUUCGCUCCCUCGGGGUGAGCAGGCUCCUGACUCCUGGGGCGCUCUUUCAAAUGUGGCCAGGCCGUGCCCCUCCCCAGCGUGAGGGCUUAUGACGUGUACUGUUGUUAGGCUCCUCCUGUGAGUCUCGGGGCAUUUCUGGAGUUUCUACCCCUGCCUCUUAUUUUAGGUUAACAGGUAAUCUGCAGAAGCCUGCAGUGCUAGUAGAUCAGGAUGCCCUAGAUGACUGCAGUUUCCUGCUUCACGUUGCCCACAGGACUAGAGAAGAAGCUGGGAAACACACCCGAAAGCAGAGGCGUUGCUGGUGGCCAGGGAUCUUUUUUCCUCCCUCAUUUAACCUUUCUUGUCCACCCAUCAAAGCUUCCCGCCCACACUCCCCACUGUGACACUCCCCACUGUGACACUCCUCCAGUGUGCGCCAUUCGUUCCUCCAGCCCCUCCACAACAGUUUAAUCACCUGCACUGGGGAACAGGGCCAGUGGCUAGCUGUGUUCUGUCUUGUUUUCUGUUCUCCUCCAGACCACAGUUAGAGUGAAUCUUUAGAAAAUCCAGUCUGCUGAACACCCCGAGAUUUAUCAUCACUUCAAAGAGCCUGCGGGCUUGCUGCCUUCCUACUCGCAGUCCUCCUCCUCUCCCGCCUUCAGCGCUGGCUUUGUCCGGAAUUCCCUGGAAUCUCUCCUCUCCCACCAUGACUUUGCUGAAUGUAAAAGUAAUAUCCUUACUUCCUGUUGUUUACACAGCUAAAAUACUAGGUGUGCUAGUAAAGACUACAGGGACAGUCUGGACUCAGCGGCACCAGCGGCCAUGUUGAAUGAUGUCACAAGUCAUAUGGGAGGCAAGGAAGUCAAUGACCAGAGGGGAGCAUGUGUUUGGGAAACACUGAGUUGUCCUAGCUCCAUUGCUGUGACAUCUUUGUAAGAUCACUUUGAACUGAGAACUGACAAGUUCCUGGUAAACCAAGGCAGAGCGGAAAUGCCACCCCACACGUUGGGAGGGGCAGAUGUGGAAUGAGAAAUUGUCGGGGAGGGGGAGACCUGCAUUUGGAAGAGUUCUUGCGGUCACCUAUGCUGUUUUGCCAAAUCCCUGUAUGAUCUCCCUAGGUGCUUCUGUGUAUGGUUAUUCAUUAAAAAUAGUCAGUUUCCAUAGA